GCCAUGAUUAGAAGUUCAUAUCAUCCUUUUAUUAACUUCAUAUCAUUUUUGUUUUAGACUUCUCAUUUGAACAUGUCGAUUUAAGAGAAACAGUUUUGAUAGUGAACAUUGAGUUUUUUGACAACUUAAAAUCCUUUAUAAAUCUGGGUUUCAAGUAAUUUUAGGAUUUUCUUCCUUCUGUUUAUCCAAAAAUAGAAUACGGUUGAUUUGGACUUGUCAUCUGAAUAGUUCCGGCUAAGAGAGAGAUUUUCUGAUAGUACACUGCAUAUUAAGGAAUUAUAACCCCUUAUAAAUCUGGAUUUUAGGAUAUUGUUGAUAGUACAGCUCAACGAUUUACAAGGUUUUAUAAAAGAAGUUCUUAAACAAGAAUUCAUCAUAUAUGUCUAUAGAACAACAUAUAAACGUAUGAACUCGAGAAGUCUUGUGAUGUGUUAUUUGUAAGACUGUUACCGAAAUACAUGAACAUUAUGCUUGGAUAAGGUAUCUUUAGACCACGAUUAAAAGUUAACAUCAUCUUUUUAUUUCGUCUUGCAGUUAGACAGCAAUGAAUCUUGCACAUCUUCAUGAUUGCCUCCAAGGAUUUAUGAAGCUGGAACAUAACCACUAGACAAUCCAAAAGUGAUUAUCCAAUCGGUGUCUUGGUCAAUAAUUGUUGUGCAAUUAGUUCAACAAGAAUAUAAAAUGAAGAAAAGCUAAGGGGGACGAAGAUUUGUGGCUUUACUUUUUGCAGUAUAUGAUGUACGGCAAUAACACAUGAAAGAAGAUAAAAAUGAAGAGAAAAUAAAGCUUAAGAGAAAAUAAAAGUUUAGAAAUAAUUUAUAAAAAUAUAUAAAACAGUUUGUAAAGUUUAUAAGCUAUUUAUAAAGGUUUAUAUAUUAUUUGUAAGAGUCUCAAAACCAUUUAUAAAUGUUUACAUUUAUAAAGGUUUAUAAAACAAUUAAUAAAGUCUAUAAACCAUUUAUAAUUGUUUAUAAAAACGUUAUGAAAGUAUAUACACAAUUAAUAUGGGUUAUGUAUUCAAUUUAUAAGGUUUAUAGGUUUAGGAACCAAUUAGAAAGUCUCUUAAAUCAUUUAUAAGAGUCUACAGUAAUUUAUAAGGACUUAUAGAAACAAUUUAUAGGAGUUUGUAAAAUUGUUUAUAAGGGUUUAUAAGGAUAUAUAAAUAAUUAAUAAGAGUUUAUAAAUCAUUUAUAAAAAUUACUAAAAACAAUUUCUGAAUUUUAUAAAACUUUUAAAAAGAGUUUGUAAAAUUGUUUAUACGGGUU
Molecule: long non-coding RNA, 1265 nt
Organism: Brassica rapa (field mustard)
Lineage: Eukaryota; Viridiplantae; Streptophyta; Magnoliopsida; Brassicales; Brassicaceae
Source: RefSeq, a predicted model, not a curated record